AAAUAAAAUAAAAAAACCCAAAUCCUACCCACCUCUCUCAUUCCUCUCAACCCUUUCUCUUUCAUCUCUUUCACUCUAACCUUUUCUCUGUCAUCCCUACUCUAGCCCCAAUUGAAAAAAAUCAGGCCUUAUUUUAAUAAUUUUCAUUCUCAAAACUAAAAAAAGAAAUCACAAACCCUUACUCACCCCCUUCAUUCCUCUCAACCCUUUCUCCUUC
This 217-nucleotide long non-coding RNA is filed under the name Vigna radiata. RNAcentral's name for it is "long non-coding RNA (VRAD_LNC003176)". The record is from RNAcentral. Lineage: Eukaryota; Viridiplantae; Streptophyta; Magnoliopsida; Fabales; Fabaceae.